Molecule: long non-coding RNA, 657 nt
Filed under: Numida meleagris (helmeted guineafowl)
Lineage: Eukaryota; Metazoa; Chordata; Aves; Galliformes; Numididae
Description: lncRNA (ENSNMEG00000012194.1)
Source: RNAcentral
UUUCCUUUGAAGCAAGGAGGAAAAGCACAAGGUGACAUGGCACUGAAAACUCCAAAGCUGAGACGCUGUAGUCGUUUUAGAUACUGUGCUGCAGCCCCGUUUGAUCUGUCUUCUCAGAUCCCAGAAGACAUAACUGAGAGAAGAUCCUCAUCUGUUAGCUCCCUCUGUUGGCAUUGUCCCUCCCUUAAGAGUUCCCUUUUUUUUUUUUGCUUUGUCUUGUACAUUUGUGUUCUAGGUGUGUGGGAGACAGGAGGCCCUUGUCCUGUGAGCCAUUUCUGCCCAGAAGGAGCCAGCUUUCCCUUAGCCUGCCUUGCAGGGACCUACAACAACCUCACCAGACAAGCUGCAUGCUUCCCUUGUGCCGCAGGAUACUACUGCCCAGAGAAUACUACCAGCUACAGUGUGAAUCCUUGCCCAGCUGGCUUUUACUGCCCUAAAGGAACCAGGUUUGCUACCGAGUUUCCUUGUCCCCGGGGCUACUUUAACCCCGAUCCCAUGACACAGAGCUUGGACAGCUGCUUGCCCUGCCCACCUGGGCAUUACUGUGGGAAGGAGAACUUGACAGCUCCAUCAGGCAAGUGUGAUGCAGGUGAGUCUGGAUCUGUUUGGCUGUUGUAGUGCACAGCACGGAGAGGCAAUGUCUUAGCAAGGUUAAUG